RNAcentral lists this ribosomal RNA (400 nucleotides) under uncultured bacterium. RNAcentral's name for it is "bacterial SSU rRNA". It matches the Rfam family "Bacterial small subunit ribosomal RNA", at positions 355 to 772 of the family's 1533-position model. The record is from RNAcentral.
UGGGGAAUCUUGGACAAUGGGGGCAACCCUGAUCCAGCGAUGCCGCGUGGGUGAUGAAGGCCUUCGGGUUGUAAAGCCCUUUCGGCGGGGACGAUAGUGACGGUACCCGCAGAAGAAGCCUCGGCUAACUCCGUGCCAGCCGCCGCGGUAAGACGGAGGAGGCUAGCGUUGUUCGGAAUUACUGGGCGUAAAGCGCGCGCAGGCGGCUUAGCAAGUCAGGGGUGAAAGCCCGGGGCUCAACCUCGGAACUGCCUUUGAGACUGCUAGGCUCGAGACCGAGAGAGGAGAGUGGAACUCCCAGUGUAGAGGUGAAAUUCGUAGAUAUUGGGAAGAACACCAGUGGCGAAGGCGGCUCUCUGGCUCGGUACUGACGCUGAGGCGCGAAAGCGUGGGGAGCAAA